GGGUGAAAUCAUACCAGCACUAAUGCACUGGAUACCAUCAAAAUUCAGCAGUUAAGCGUGUUUAGGCGAGAGUAGUACUAUGAUGGGUGACCUUUUUGGAAGUCCUCGUAUUACACCCC
This 119-nucleotide ribosomal RNA is filed under the name Beta vulgaris subsp. vulgaris (sugar beet). Lineage: Eukaryota; Viridiplantae; Streptophyta; Magnoliopsida; Caryophyllales; Amaranthaceae. The record is from RNAcentral.